RNAcentral lists this long non-coding RNA (382 nucleotides) under Lathyrus oleraceus (garden pea). RNAcentral's name for it is "Pisum sativum (pea) long non-coding RNA (PSAT_LNC029152)". The record is from RNAcentral. Lineage: Eukaryota; Viridiplantae; Streptophyta; Magnoliopsida; Fabales; Fabaceae.
GAGAUUCAGAAGAUAACAACAAGGAUAACAUCGAGAUCUUAAACGGGGUAUGCCCCAACUGUUCUACCACAUCAAAAUCACUCUUGCGGAUGAUUUUUAGCACUUCUUCCAUUUCUUGCUUGGCAAUGUCUUCAGUAGUAACCUCGACCGGUGUCUCUGACUGAGAAGGGUUGACUGGUUCCUUUCCUCGCGGUUCAGGGACGGGAGGUGAGAUUUCUGGAGAAAAGACCCUUCCACUUCGAGUAAUUCUACUAGUCCCAACAAUGUCAACGUCAUUAGGAUUAGCAGGAUUAUCAUCUUGCUUCACGCCAUGGAUGUAAACAUCACCUCCAUAAUUCCAAGGAAUGGCUUUGCUUGAGGAAUACGGUACUGGGCCAGGUGC